CCAUUUUGAUUUGUACAUGAUCCCCUUUUUUUCUUUUUGGUGUACAAGAUGGCUGAAGCUCAAAGAAAAGGAAGAAGUAAUUACAGCUAUACACUAGGAAAGGAAAUCCAAAAGCACCAAGGUAGCAAGCUGAUGGGAAAGAAAAGAAAGAAUAGCUAAUGCUUAGUUUAGAAGAUAGUUUAUUUAUUAGAGAUUUUCAUUAUUUGUUUGGUGCAACGGUAAAAACCUUGAGCUCACAAGCGCAAUGGUGCAGGUCCUGGUCCUAGAGAAGAUGCAUAAAAAAAAGGUCAAAGGUUAGCUUGUCCUCCUAGGAUCCUGAAAUGUGGGACCGUAAUCAUUUUUUCAGAUUCCCAUCAUCAUUAUCAUCCACCUAUUUUUCCUAUCAAAUAAAGGAAAGCUAAAGAACCAAACUCCUGGUUGAGACGACUCCAUAGAAAGAUUACGGGCCAGUGCGGAAAGUUCGUCCUAGAAGAG
RNAcentral lists this long non-coding RNA (474 nucleotides) under Phoenix dactylifera (date palm). RNAcentral describes it as "long non-coding RNA (PDAC_LNC012620)". The record is from RNAcentral. Lineage: Eukaryota; Viridiplantae; Streptophyta; Magnoliopsida; Arecales; Arecaceae.